Molecule: ribosomal RNA, 1364 nt
Filed under: uncultured organism
Description: 16S ribosomal RNA
Rfam family: Bacterial small subunit ribosomal RNA
Source: RNAcentral
GGCGACCGGCGCACGGGGGAGUAACGCGUAUGCAACUUGCCUAUCAGAGGGGGAUAACCCGGCGAAAGUCGGACUAAUACCGCAUGAAGCAGGGGCCCCGCAUGGGGAUAUUUGCUAAAGAUUCAUCGCUGAUAGAUAGGCAUGCGUUCCAUUAGGCAGUUGGCGGGGUAACGGCCCACCAAACCGACGAUGGAUAGGGGUUCUGAGAGGAAGGUCCCCCACAUUGGUACUGAGACACGGACCAAACUCCUACGGGAGGCAGCAGUGAGGAAUAUUGGUCAAUGGCCGAGAGGCUGAACCAGCCAAGUCGCGUGAGGGAUGAAGGUUCUAUGGAUCGUAAACCUCUUUUAUAAGGGAAUAAAGUGCGGGACGUGUCCCGUUUUGUAUGUACCUUAUGAAUAAGGAUCGGCUAACUCCGUGCCAGCAGCCGCGGUAAUACGGAGGAUCCGAGCGUUAUCCGGAUUUAUUGGGUUUAAAGGGUGCGUAGGCGGCCUUUUAAGUCAGCGGUGAAAGUCUGUGGCUCAACCAUAGAAUUGCCGUUGAAACUGGGGGGCUUGAGUAUGUUUGAGGCAGGCGGAAUGCGUGGUGUAGCGGUGAAAUGCAUAGAUAUCACGCAGAACCCCGAUUGCGAAGGCAGCCUGCCAAGCCAUUACUGACGCUGAUGCACGAAAGCGUGGGGAUCAAACAGGAUUAGAUACCCUGGUAGUCCACGCAGUAAACGAUGAUCACUAGCUGUUUGCGAUACACUGUAAGCGGCACAGCGAAAGCGUUAAGUGAUCCACCUGGGGAGUACGCCGGCAACGGUGAAACUCAAAGGAAUUGACGGGGGCCCGCACAAGCGGAGGAACAUGUGGUUUAAUUCGAUGAUACGCGAGGAACCUUACCCGGGUUCGAACGCAUUCGGACCGAGGUGGAAACACCUUUUCUAGCAAUAGCCGUUUGCGAGGUGCUGCAUGGUUGUCGUCAGCUCGUGCCGUGAGGUGUCGGCUUAAGUGCCAUAACGAGCGCAACCCUUGCCACUAGUUACUAACAGGUAAAGCUGAGGACUCUGGUGGGACUGCCAGCGUAAGCUGCGAGGAAGGCGGGGAUGACGUCAAAUCAGCACGGCCCUUACAUCCGGGGCGACACACGUGUUACAAUGGCGUGGACAAAGGGAAGCCACCUGGCGACAGGGAGCGAAUCCCCAAACCACGUCUCAGUUCGGAUCGGAGUCUGCAACCCGACUCCGUGAAGCUGGAUUCGCUAGUAAUCGCGCAUCAGCCAUGGUGCGGUGAAUACGUUCCCGGGCCUUGUACACACCGCCCGUCAAGCCAUGGGAGCCGGGGGUACAUGAAGUCCGUAACCGAAAGGAUCGGCCUAGGGUA